CGAAUCUAACGAUAACCGUUCAGAAAAGAAGAGAAAAAACGUACACAAAGUUGAACAACACCAAAACGACGACGUGCCGUCCACCGGUGGAAUACCCACCGUCACCAUUGAUCUUCCCGGCUCCAUACUCAAUAAUACCCAGUCACUCGAACUCGCCACUCGUUUGGCUGGGCAGGUCGCUCGUGCUGCUGCGAUUUUCUGGAUUGACGAGUAGGUUUGUACCAGUUAGGGUCACCCUUGCUCAGAAAUAGCACCACAGAUAUUGAAAUGUGUGUUCAUACUGCGAAAAUCGAGUUCAGGUGGUUGUAUUCGAUAGCAAGAAUAUGUCGGAGGCUACUUCUAAUGAAAUAAUGGACAAUGACUCAGGGUUUGUUGCCCCCGCUUGAUGCCCCACGUCAUCUGCGCAAUCACGAAUAGGCUUUGUACAGGGAAGGUAGUAUUCUAAACCCCUAUAAGUUAUAGUUUGCACUCUGCUUGCCUGCUACUGUGAAUGGAGCCGUUGAUGUGGUUUUGCACUGUAUUUGGGUAAUUUAAAUUAUAUUGAACUAUUCUGAUAGCUUUUGCUACUCAUAUUUGAUUUGAUCUCAUUUCGAUGGUUCCAUAAAGUGGACUUCGUAAAUGUCUGUGUAUGCAAUAAAGAUGGCCCUACUACAUUUUGAUUUCAAGGAUCUUGUAGACACUGUAGUAAAUCAUCUGUCUGUGUACAAAUGGUUCACUUGUUUGGCGCAAAGUUUGGGCAUAUGAUGGCUUACACUUGAUCUCUGAAAUCUCAGGCAUCGCUCGGGAAAAAUUAGAUCAAGGUUCUGCGGUACGCUUGUUGAUGGGGGUCUCAGCAAGGUUGAUCAAGUUCUUGAACCUGGAACAAGAGUAACUGUAGAGAUGGGAACAAACCAUUACCUCGACAAGAGCACAAAAAUUUUAGGUCCAAGGAAAAUCGUCCCUUCAUCAUGACCUCGAGAUAAAGGCAGUGUUGUCAAAAUGUCGCUCAGGUCGCUGGGGUCGAGACCAUCACCGCCCCAACAUGGGUGGGUUGAUCGAGAUACAUGGUCGCCGCCAGGUCGGCUGGGUCGCCCUAACACAUGCAGCGCAGUGAAGCUUUUAAGACUGCCAAUUUAAUUUUAAUUUUAAUUCUAAUUCGGCCUCUACAAAUGAUUGCAGCUUGUACCACUUUAUCUACCUAUAGGCUAUAUGUAUUGAAACUCUAUGUAUUCGGACACUCUAUCUUGAUAAGGAGAUAAUGUUAACUUUUUAUGUAA
Molecule: non-coding RNA, 1256 nt
Organism: Salvia hispanica
Lineage: Eukaryota; Viridiplantae; Streptophyta; Magnoliopsida; Lamiales; Lamiaceae
Source: RefSeq, a predicted model, not a curated record